Molecule: ribosomal RNA, 490 nt
Filed under: uncultured marine eukaryote
Lineage: Eukaryota
Description: SSU rRNA
Rfam family: Eukaryotic small subunit ribosomal RNA
Source: RNAcentral
UUCCAGCUCCAAUAGCGUAUAUUAAUGUUGCUGCAGUUAAAAAGCUCGUAGUUGGAUUUCUGGUAUGAUGCGCCUGGUCCGCCCCGUUUAGGUGUGUGAGUACCGGCGCGCGUCUGCCAUCCUUCUGGACUGCGUGUGUGCCGUUCAUUCGGUGUGCACGUGUUUGUCUAGAUCGUUUACUUUGAAAAAUUAGAGUGUUUCAAGCAGGCAUACUCGCUUUGAAUACAUUAGCAUGGAAUAAUAAGAUAGGACUUGGGUUCUAUUUUGUUGGUUUCUAGGACCGAAGUAAUGAUUGAUAGGGACAGUUGGGGGUGCUAGUAUUUCCACGGCCAGAGGUGAAAUUCUUGGAUUCGUGGAAGACUAACUAAUGCGAAAGCAUUCACCAAGGAUGUCUUCUUUAAUCAAGAACGAAAGUUGGGGGAUCGAAGAGGAUCAGAUACCCUCGUAGUCUCAACCAUAAACGAUGCCGACUCGGGAUGUGUGGACGUUG